This is a long non-coding RNA of Hyaena hyaena (striped hyena), 1776 nucleotides long. RefSeq lists it as uncharacterized. The record is from RefSeq and is a predicted model, not a curated record. The transcript has 5 exons. NCBI's taxonomy places the organism in Eukaryota, Metazoa, Chordata, Mammalia, Carnivora, Hyaenidae.
UUCACGUAAAGGUCAUGUAAAGUUCACUGCAACAUCGAGAAGAUGCUCCCAUGCACAGAAACAGAAGAAUGUGUUCCCAACAUUCCAGGAAAUAAUAUGGCUGCGUGGCUGACUUACCCUCCCUCCUCUACAGGUUCAAUAUCCUGCCCACCCAGAGAGCCAAGUUAGAAAACUUAGCCAUGUGGAUUUUGAUACUCAGCCACAAGCCACAAGGAAGCACUUCCUCUAGAGGAAUGGCCAGGAUCUGACGGUUUCAGCCAGUCCUCUGCUGCCCUCUUUCAGAUUAAUAGACUUCCCUUCUGCUGAGACCUAUGCCUCUGAUGUGAAAUAUCACCCAGCUGUAAGCAACUUUAACAGUAAUCAGACCGUAACUCUGUUAUUAAGUUAUGGUGACUCCUCAGAAGUCCAAACUGUCUGAUGAAGCUUGAAGAACCGUCUCUGACAAGUUGAGCUUGACUGAAUCUGGGAAGCAUCAGCAUGGGAACCUGCUUUUCUGACUUCAACCCAGAUUAACCAUUUAAAAGUGAAACUUGCAAUGCCGAGUGAUGCCUGAGACUUAAGCGGAAAAGUUGUUUCAGGAAGAGAGGUGUACAUGAGGACAUCAGAAUGCUACCCUAGCUGAUUCUGCAACAAAUUUUACCAGUGCUCAUGGCUCGUGCAGCCGGUGACUCUCAUUUGAAAUCAAUGCUCACCAACCAUCCUAAAAAUCCUAGGGCCCUUCAGCAUAAUGCUAAAUGUACUCUGCUUGUGCUCUAUAAAUGUAAUAACAAAGCCUGAAUGACAGCACAUCUGUUUACAACAUGGUUUACUGAAUACUAUUGAGACCUACUGCUCAAAAAAAAGUUCCUUUCAAAAUAUUACUACUUAUUUGACAAUGUGAAUGCAUCUGGUCCACCCAGAACUCUAACAGAGAUGGACAAGAUGAGUGUUGUUUUCAUGUCUGCUAACAAAGCAUCAAUUUUGCAGCCCACGGAUCAGAGUCCUUUCGACUUCCAAGUCUUUUUAAUUUAAGAAAUACAAUUCAUAAGGUUGUAUAUAGUUGCUGUAGGGAUUCCUCACAGAUCCUGGCAAAGUACACUGAAAACCUUCUGGGAAGAAUUCACCGUUUUAGAUGCCAUUGAAAACAAUCAUGAUUAAUGGGAAGGGGUCAAAGUAUUCACAUAACAGGAGUUUGGAAGAAGUUGAUUAUACCCUCUUGGAUGAUUUUGAAGGGUUUCAAGACCUAACUGGCGUGUAAAAAUGUGACUAAACUGCUGUCAUCUCUUCAUAAAAUUUCAACAGAGGAGUUGCUUCUUAUGUAUGAGCAAAGACCGUGGUUUUGUGAGAUGGAAUCUAUCCCUGGUGAGGAUGCCAUGAAGACUUGAAAUGACAAUGGGCUUAGAAUAUUCCAUAAAUGUAAUUGAUGCACAGCAGCAGAGUCUAAAAAGAAUUUAAUUUUGAAAGAAGUUCUAAUGUGGAUAAAAUGCUAACAGCACUGCCUGCUACAGAGAAAUCUUUCAUUGGAAGGAAGAGUUGAGGUGGCAAACUUCAUUGUUGUAAAAAAUUGCCCCAGCCAUCCUGACCUUAAACCACUGCCACUCUGAGCAAUCAACAGCCAGCAACAUCAAAGCAAGACCCUCCACUAGCAAAAAGAUUACAACUCGCUGAAAGCUUAGAUGAUAGCAUUUUUAGUAAUCACACAUUAGGGCAUGUGCAUUGCGUUUUUUUAAACAUAAUGCUGUCACACUACAUUGUUAAUGUAAAAUAUAAAAUGUAAAUAUAUAAAAAUAAUGUAAU